GGGGAUUUAGCUCAGUGGUAGAGCGCUUGCCUAGCAAGCGCAAGGCCAGGGUUCAGUCCCCA
Molecule: transfer RNA, 62 nt
Filed under: Rattus norvegicus (Norway rat)
Lineage: Eukaryota; Metazoa; Chordata; Mammalia; Rodentia; Muridae
Rfam family: tRNA
About the family: Transfer RNA (tRNA) molecules are approximately 80 nucleotides in length.
Source: Rfam by way of RNAcentral